This 75-nucleotide transfer RNA is filed under the name Actinomycetota bacterium. RNAcentral's name for it is "tRNA-Val". It matches the Rfam family "tRNA". From Rfam's summary of the family: Transfer RNA (tRNA) molecules are approximately 80 nucleotides in length. Their secondary structure includes four short double-helical elements and three loops (D, anti-codon, and T loops). Lineage: Bacteria; Bacillati; Actinomycetota. The record is from RNAcentral.
GGGCGGUUAGCUCAGCGGGAGAGCGCUGUCUUCACACGGCAGAGGUCACUGGUUCGAUCCCAGUACCGCCCACCA